GCUUUCGCGGAGUGGAAGAUGGAUAGACAGAAGAAGAAGGCAAGAGUGGAAGAUGAAGAUCGAAUUAGCAAGCUCCCAGAUGAUCUGAUGCAUCGAAUAAUGCUAUUUAUGGACACUCAUCUCGCAGUUCAAACCUGCGUUUUUUCGAAAAGAUGGAAACUUAUUUGGACAACUCUUCCGUUUCUCAAUUUCGAUGGCAAUGAGCAACAUUACAACAAUAUUUCCAAAUUUUUUCAGCAUUUCUUCUCUCGCAGACACGGUAAAUAUCUGGCAAUAAAACUCAAACUUUGUCCUGGUAAUGCCCUGAAUCUACGUUCAAUAAAAAAGUAUGUUAGGUAUGCUAUUUCACACAAUCUUAACGUCUGCACGUCAAGUUGGAUCGAUGUUGUUCAUUAUCUACAUUUAGCUCUAGUUCUUUGAAGGAACUUAAUCUCACGAUGAAAUCUGAAUUUUGUAAAAUUAUGACAUCAGAUUGCGUAAAACUGCCUAACUUGACAACACUAGAUUUGAACCACAACAAUUUUAAGAAAAUCCCCAAAUUUGAAGAAUCAUUUUUUGUAUCUGUGCCUGCCUUGACAACUCUGAGACUUAAUCGAUUUGAGUUGCCUGAAAUUUUUUUGCUUGCCUACCUUAACUACACUCUGCCUAGAAUUGUGCACUUUGCCUGAACGGGUGUGGGAUUUUCCUGCUUUAUUAACUUUACAAUUGAUUAAUGUGGUGUUUUCGGAGAGUAUGAGUGACUACUUCCUUGCACUUACAAGUCUGCAAAAUCUUACAUCUAUGGCGUGAAGAACAUAGGUUGUUGUAUUAUAUCUAGUCCCUUAUUGUUGAACCUGAAAAUCAGGGUCUCAUUGUACUCUUUAAAUUUAACCAAUGGAAAAGUUGUGGUGUUGGCACCCAAACUCCGUAAUUUCUAUGCUAUUGGUUUUUUCUUGGCAAGAUUUGAAAGUUCUGAGUUGGAGAAUGUAACCAUCAAAUUUUGGGAUAACGACUAUAUUACACCAUGGCGGACGUUAAAAGAAUAUCAAGUCCUGUUUAAAGUUAUGCUCUCACAAUUGAGUAGCGCCAAGAUUCCUGCUCUUGACAUGUGGAUCCUUCAGAUAUCACUCUAUUUGAUUUUUUAUAUAUAUAAAGAAUUCUCGGACAACUAUAUUACUAGAGGUCUCUUUAAGUUGAGUUUUAGCCUAUCAUUAGAGGUUAAAUCUUAAAAUUGGCUUGGCUAUGUUCACCAAUUAUUAACGUAAUUGUAUCUAUAGUUACUAUAUAAAAAUUCAUCUCGUUCAUCAAUUUUCUGAAUGCACGGCAUGUAGGGCAUCUUCUUUUUCUAACCGAUGGAUAAAUACUCGAGGAAGAAAGUACACAAGCAACUGACUUUUGAUCUAUGUUAAAUCAUUUUGAUAUUGGCUCAUAUUAGAAAAGUCAUUUGACAAAUAUUUAAUAUUCUACUUGAUAUUGUUUGAAUUAUUAUAGGCACUAUCCCAAAUCUCCCAUGUUCUUCUACAUGUGCGCUGUCCAUUUCAUUCCUUAAGGUAUUUGAAGCUACCACAUGGAUAUGAAGAAUCAAGUAUAUCUAGACACGUCAGAUGGUAAUUGCUCAGCGGUUCUCCAAGUGCCAUCAUCGUCAAAACAUUUCCUAUGGAUCAUCUGACUAGUCAAACCGCACCAGCUGUUUCCUUAGUAACACAAAAUGGGGUGCUAGAAGAGCCCUUGGCAAAAAGGGUUUCAAUUGUGUAGGUGGAGAAUUGUGCAGCAGAUGCUGGCAAGGUUUCGCCAAUUGAAGCUCAGAUUUCGGGGAAUAGCAAUGAUCGGGCAAAAACUGGAGAAAAAAGUAAUUUUGUCUUAUGGUAGGGCCAUGAGGUUAACUCUGAGUUUGUAAGCAUGCUUGAUCUCAUCAUGGAUAAGUAUCCACAGUCUUUUAAGAAGUUAACCAACAAAAAUAAGAAAAUUGUAACAGUGAAGCUGAAUACGUUGGCUUCCUUAGUAAAUGCCUUUACAACGACUUUGAUGACUGAGGUCGACAAUGAGAUGCUCACUGAGUUUGAGGCUCUCUUUACAAAUUAUAAAAUAUGUUGAAGACGACAGAUUCCGAGAGCUUACAGACAGUGGGCACUAGCCACUCUGCUACUGCUUCCUAUAUUGGAGAUGGUUUACUGUAAGUCUCUAAGCUUUUUUUUUGGCAAGAAUUGACAUAGAAUGCUUGCGAGAUAAUUGUUGUUAGGCUACUACUUCACAACACUGCAAGGGAAUCUAAUAUUCGGGGUAGAUUUUUCAGAUGCCAUGUUUACUAUUACUAUGCAAUUUGAUACCAGUGUAAACCCUGUUGCAAUCUCUUUUAAUGUUAGACAUGGAGAACCAUAAUUUCAGAUAUUGAUAGGCUUUAAAUCAA
This is a long non-coding RNA of Daucus carota subsp. sativus, 2386 nucleotides long. RefSeq lists it as uncharacterized. NCBI's taxonomy places the organism in Eukaryota, Viridiplantae, Streptophyta, Magnoliopsida, Apiales, Apiaceae. The record is from RefSeq and is a predicted model, not a curated record. The transcript is spliced from 2 exons.